Molecule: non-coding RNA, 73 nt
Organism: Myotis davidii
Lineage: Eukaryota; Metazoa; Chordata; Mammalia; Chiroptera; Vespertilionidae
Source: Rfam
GCCAUUUUGGCUCAGUGGAUAGAGCAUCAGCCUGCAGACUGAAGGGUCACUGGUUUAAUUCCAGUCAAGCGUG